CGCCCUUCGGGGUGGCAGCGGCGCGAAAACUUUACCCGUCCGGCGACGGCNAAUAGGGAACCUCGAGUGCCAGGUUACAAAUCUGGCUGUCGUGAUGCCUAAAAAGCAUUGCAUAGCAAGGGCCGGGCAAGACCGGUGCCAGCCGCCGCGGUAACACCGGCGGCUCGAGUGGUAACCGUUAUUAUUGGGUCUAAAGGGUCUGUAGCCGGCCGGAUAAGUCUCUUGGGAAAUCUGGCAGCUUAACUGUCAGGCUUUCAGGAGAUACUGUCUGGCUCGAGGCCGGGAGAGGUGAGAGGUACUUCAGGGGUAGGGGUGAAAUCUUGUAAUCCUUGAAGGACCACCAGUGGCGAAGGCGUCUCACCAGAACGGACCUGACGGCAAGGGACGAAAGCUAGGGGCACGAACCGGAUUAGAUACCCGGGUAGUCCUAGCCGUAAACGAUACUCGCUAGGUGUCGGCCACGGUGCGACCGUGGUCGGUGCCGUAGGGAAGCCGUGAAGCGAGCCACCUGGGAAGUACGGCCGCAAGGCUGAAACUUAAAGGAAUUGGCGGGGGAGCAC
This 560-nucleotide ribosomal RNA is filed under the name uncultured archaeon. Its description in RNAcentral is "bacterial SSU rRNA". It matches the Rfam family "Archaeal small subunit ribosomal RNA", at positions 319 to 879 of the family's 1478-position model. The record is from RNAcentral.